UGGAGCGGUCGCUCGGUGG
RNAcentral lists this unclassified non-coding RNA (19 nucleotides) under Mus musculus (house mouse). Its description in RNAcentral is "oocyte_clustered_small_RNA10691". The record is from RNAcentral. Lineage: Eukaryota; Metazoa; Chordata; Mammalia; Rodentia; Muridae.